Molecule: transfer RNA, 94 nt
Filed under: Desulfovibrio sp.
Lineage: Bacteria; Pseudomonadati; Thermodesulfobacteriota; Desulfovibrionia; Desulfovibrionales; Desulfovibrionaceae
Description: tRNA-Sec
Rfam family: Selenocysteine transfer RNA
Source: RNAcentral
GGGAGCGUUUCGUCACCGGUGUGGCGCCCGGUCUUCAAAACCGGCGGCAGGCCUGAUCGCCUGCGGUAGGUUCGACCCCUAUGCGCUCCCGCCA